UCGGUUGGUGUGUGAGCUGCGGAGAACAUCGCGGGAAUACUUUCUCCGAUUUCAAACGUAAAAAUGCCUUCAAAUUUUCCGAAACAAAUCAUAACGGCUGCAGCAGAAGUGGUGACUGACCCCUCGGCCCAUGAGGUGUGGAAGCGAGAAUGAUGAGUGCCAGUCUUCAGAAUGACGAGGUGGCAUUGCCCAGUUUAAGCAGGGUCAUGGAACAACUCUUUCCUCCGUGAAAAGACCUCUAUGGAGACAGAAAUAACUCUGGGCCUAGUCUCAGUAGAACCAUACCUUGACCCGACGUCACCAACCAGGGAAGGACACGUUUUCCAGUGGUCAUUCCAUUCUGCUACACUAGGAUACGAAUCCUAUCAAACUGGAGCGCCACCAGUUCACAAAUGGAGUUCCUUCAUAGCUUUUUGUUAGAAAUAUCUUUUUGUAUAAAAACCUAUUAGUGAUUUUUAAAUAUCGACAGAUGAAUAUACCAGUUCAAUUCGAACAUUUGAAUUUGUCCUCAACAUUUCAAAUGAUAGAUUGAAAGUUUCACAAUCAGUGGUUGUUUGUACAUUUCAUCAUUGGUGUCCGUUCAUAAUCCAGGACAACAUUUGACACGUCCUUCCUGUGCCCGGUGUGACAGCGGAUAUAGUCCCCCUGGAGCCAUAGUCCGCUAGCAUUGUAUUUGACCAAUUAAGCAGCAUGAUCUAUUGUACCGCUAACCCAAACCAAAACAUUUAGCAAUGCGGGCUAUUGUUACACGGACUAUCAGCCCUAGGACUACUAUCCCUUGCACACCGGUCGUUCAAAUUGCAUUAGCCCGUUGAUGAUGUCUUUUAACGUCAAGCGGUUCCUGUGAACAACAAUCAGGACCAAGUGUGUUGUCGCACCACUUUCGCUGUCACAAUCUCAUCAACAUUAUCAGGAUGAUCAGGUCACAGAUCGCCGAUACUUCAGGGGAGUUGGGGGAAAAACUCUGGUGUAAAAGCAGAAAAUUUCCCAUGGAAAAAGUGUCCGGGCCUAUUGUAUUCUGUCGGAUUAUGCUAUAAAUGGUUCUGUAUUAGAUGCCAUGACCGCCAGAUUAAAGUGAGUGAUAGAAUGCUUGGUUCCCGGACAUUCUAUCCCCCGCUGUAGAAAUUCCCAGAAAAAAAGUUGUAAAUUCUACUCUAAUAAUUUAUUGUUCAAUAAAGAUAUUAAAAACUAGAUCGUGAUAUUUGUCAUCCUCUUCCCCUCGCUGACCCUUGA
Molecule: long non-coding RNA, 1233 nt
Organism: Lineus longissimus
Lineage: Eukaryota; Metazoa; Nemertea; Pilidiophora; Heteronemertea; Lineidae
Exons: 3
Source: RefSeq, a predicted model, not a curated record